UACGGAGGGGGCUAGCGUUGUUCGGAAUUACUGGGCGUAAAGCGCACGUAGGCGGCUUUGUAAGUUAGAGGUGAAAGCCCAGGGCUUAACCCUGGAAUUGCCUUUAAGACUGCAUCGCUAGAAUCGUGGAGAGGUGAGUGGAAUUCCGAGUGUAGAGGUGAAAUUCGUAGAUAUUCGGAAGAACACCAGUGGCGAAGGCGACUCACUGGACACGUAUUGACGCUGAGGUGCGAAGGCGUGGGGAGCAAACAGG
This 253-nucleotide ribosomal RNA is filed under the name uncultured bacterium. RNAcentral's name for it is "partial 16S ribosomal RNA". It matches the Rfam family "Bacterial small subunit ribosomal RNA", at positions 524 to 776 of the family's 1533-position model. The record is from RNAcentral.